Molecule: long non-coding RNA, 1011 nt
Filed under: Trifolium pratense (red clover)
Lineage: Eukaryota; Viridiplantae; Streptophyta; Magnoliopsida; Fabales; Fabaceae
Description: long non-coding RNA (TPRA_LNC007860)
Source: RNAcentral
UAAACAAUAAGCUGUUUUCAUAACCUAUCUUGGAGAACUAAUAAAAAUAAGCUAGAAAUAGUUUAUGGACAUGUCAUAAGCAGUUUCUUUAAAUUGUCUCAAACAGACUUAUUAUAUACCAGAAAGACUAUUUCCAGAAAAGACUCUUAUUAUAAGUCAGUCUAUCCAAACAUACUCUUAUUAUAUACCAGAAAGACUAUUUCCUUAUAUCAAUGAAUGGUUGCAAGUAGUAACUUCAAUUAACUCAUCAGAAAUUGACAGAGAUUCGGGAUCACAACAGUUGCAAUGGAAAUUGGAAUUAUCAUAAUAUGAGCCCCGUAUAACCUGCAGCACACUAAACUAAACAAAGAACAGUUCUGCUGAUAUAACAAAAUCCAAUGAGUUCAAAAUUUAACAGAGAACGAGUGCCUAAAAUUGGAUUGUUGCAAGACAUUAAAACUUGCAAAACCUAAAUCAUCAUCAUAUCAUAAUCAAAGACAUAGAGGAACAAAAACCUAAAUCAUCAUCAUAUCAUAAUCAAAGACAUGGAGGAACAAAAACCCUAAAUCUGAUAGAAACAAAAAAAAAACACAUAAAUGAUGUUAAAUAUGUUUUUUUUGGGGGGGUCUAGUUUUGUAUACUUUUAUAAAGUAUAGCUUGUAACAAGAAAAAGAAACUUGAUGAAGUUCAGUUCCAAUCUACCAAAGUAGAGACACAAUGCCACUAAAACUUUAUAUAACUCAAUACUACAACCAUAGUGAUUAAUAACUAAUGAGAAAUUAUUUGAAAUGAAGAUCUCAGAAAAAGAACUAUAGAAUUGACAAGUUUACUUAUUAUUUUUGCACCUUGACAUGAAACAGGGCAAACUAGAUGUACCUGUACUGAACUUUACCUACCACAAAGCCAAAAUCGUCAAGUUGCUUAAUCACACAGAUGUUGUUGCGACUAGUAAGAAUCAAGAUCAAUCAAUUUGAAUAUCGGUAGCAUUAGGAUUAGAUGGAUUUGUAUUGAAAGGAUUUCCGGUAACAUUCU